UUUCAACUUGAGAGUUUGAUCCUGGCUCAGAACGAACGCUGGCGGCAGGCUUAACACAUGCAAGUCGAGCGCCCCGCAAGGGGAGCGGCAGACGGGUGAGUAACGCGUGGGAACGUACCAUUGCUACGGAAUAACUCAGGGAAACUUGUGCUAAUACCGUAUGUGCUCGGGAAGAUUUAUCGGCAAAUGAUCGGCCCGCGUUGGAUUAGCUAGUUGGUGGGGUAAAGGCUCACCAAGGCGACGAUCCAUAGCUGGUCUGAGAGGAUGAUCAGCACACUGGGACUGAGACACGGCCCAGACUCUACGGGAGGCAGCAGUGGGGAAUAKUGGACAAUGGGCGCAAGCCUGAUCCAGCCAUGCCGCGUGAGUGAUGAAGGCCCUAGGGUUGUAAAGCU
This 395-nucleotide ribosomal RNA is filed under the name Brucella abortus LMN1. RNAcentral describes it as "bacterial SSU rRNA". It matches the Rfam family "Bacterial small subunit ribosomal RNA", at positions 1 to 432 of the family's 1533-position model. The record is from RNAcentral. Lineage: Bacteria; Pseudomonadati; Pseudomonadota; Alphaproteobacteria; Hyphomicrobiales; Brucellaceae.